RNAcentral lists this long non-coding RNA (437 nucleotides) under Salvia miltiorrhiza (redroot sage). RNAcentral's name for it is "long non-coding RNA (SMIL_LNC008588)". Lineage: Eukaryota; Viridiplantae; Streptophyta; Magnoliopsida; Lamiales; Lamiaceae. The record is from RNAcentral.
UCCAUACGUCAUAAUUUCGUUUGGUUCUUGAAUUUUCUUUUUUUUUCAGAACCUAUAGUCUGUUAGGGUCCGAAAAAAAAAAAAAAUAUAGAAUUUCCGAAAAUUUUCUUGCAACAUCUUGUUCCUACAGUUUCACUGGCAUCGUAUAGAGCCUUUUGGGGCAGUUUCUGCGUACAUUUUUUUCGGUUUUUGAUUAUUUCUCGUUGUGUUUUCUGGAGUCCUUGGGUAGUAUAGAGCGUUUUGAGCCUAUUUCUGCGCAGUACUUUUUGGGUUGUUCAGUCUGCGUUUCUGGUUGUUUUCGAUUUCGUUUGGGGGUUUACCACCUUUUAGUGUCCGUUUAAGUGUUGUUGGUGUGGUCUCUUUGGGACGUUUCAUUGAGUGCUCUCGUUGAGACAGUUUGGGCAAUCUCGUUGGUACAGUUGGUUUUUGAGUUCCGU